UAGGCGCUUGUGAGAGAUGAAAGU
This 24-nucleotide non-coding RNA is filed under the name Cricetulus griseus (Chinese hamster). The record is from RNAcentral. Lineage: Eukaryota; Metazoa; Chordata; Mammalia; Rodentia; Cricetidae.